UGGGGAAUCUUGCACAAUGGGCGAAAGCCUGAUGCAGCAACGCCGCGUGCGGGAAGACAGCCCUAGGGUUGUAAACCGCUUUCAGCAGGGAAGAAACUGACGGUACCUGCAGAAGAAGAUGCGGCCAACUACGUGCCAGCAGCCGCGGUGACACGUAGGCAUCAAGCGUUAUCCGGAUUUAUUGGGCGUAAAGAGCUCGUAGGCGGUUCGGUAAGUCGGGUGUGAAAACUCUGGGCUCAACCCAGAGAGGCCACUCGAUACUGCUGUGACUAGAGUGCGGUAGGGGGAGCGGGGGAAUUCCUGGUGUAGCGGUGAAAUGCGCAGAUAUCAGGAGGAACACCAGUGGCGAAGGCGCCGCUCUGGGGCCGUAACUGACGCUGAGGAGCGAAAGCAUGGGUAGCAAACAGGAUUAGAUACCCUGGUAGUCCAUGCCGUAAAACGUUGGGCACUAGGUGUGGGUCUCAACCAACGAGAUCCGCGCCGUCGCU
Molecule: ribosomal RNA, 488 nt
Filed under: uncultured bacterium
Lineage: Bacteria
Description: bacterial SSU rRNA
Rfam family: Bacterial small subunit ribosomal RNA
Source: RNAcentral